RNAcentral lists this non-coding RNA (24 nucleotides) under Callithrix jacchus (white-tufted-ear marmoset). The record is from RNAcentral. RNAcentral also lists the same sequence under 3 other names. Lineage: Eukaryota; Metazoa; Chordata; Mammalia; Primates; Cebidae.
CUCACUACUGCACUUGACUAGUCU